UAAUCGGCCCUUUUCAGGGCCAACACAUUUUUAGAACGUUGGAACA
This is a non-coding RNA of Lasius niger, 46 nucleotides long. The record is from Rfam. Lineage: Eukaryota; Metazoa; Arthropoda; Insecta; Hymenoptera; Formicidae.